This 252-nucleotide ribosomal RNA is filed under the name uncultured bacterium. Its description in RNAcentral is "partial 16S ribosomal RNA". It matches the Rfam family "Bacterial small subunit ribosomal RNA", at positions 524 to 776 of the family's 1533-position model. The record is from RNAcentral.
UACGGAGGGUGCAAGCGUUAUCCGGAUUCACUGGGUUUAAAGGGUGCGUAGGCGGGCAGGUAAGUCAGUGGUGAAAUCCUAGAGCUUAACUCUAGAACUGCCAUUGAUACUAUCUGUCUUGAAUAUUGUGGAGGUAGCGGAAUAUGUCAUGUAGCGGUGAAAUGCUUAGAUAUGACAUAGAACACCUAUUGCGAAGGCAGCUUACUACGCAUAUAUUGACGCUGAGGCACGAAAGCGUGGGGAUCAAACAGG